This 2990-nucleotide ribosomal RNA is filed under the name Salmonella enterica subsp. enterica serovar Typhimurium str. DT104. RNAcentral's name for it is "bacterial LSU rRNA". It matches the Rfam family "Bacterial large subunit ribosomal RNA". The record is from RNAcentral. Lineage: Bacteria; Pseudomonadati; Pseudomonadota; Gammaproteobacteria; Enterobacterales; Enterobacteriaceae. RNAcentral also lists the same sequence under 1 other name.
UUAAGCGACUAAGCGUACACGGUGGAUGCCCUGGCAGUCAGAGGCGAUGAAGGACGUGCUAAUCUGCGAUAAGCGCCGGUAAGGUGAUAUGAACCGUUAUAACCGGCGAUUUCCGAAUGGGGAAACCCAGUGUGAUUCGUCACACUAUCAUUAACUGAAUCCAUAGGUUAAUGAGGCGAACCGGGGGAACUGAAACAUCUAAGUACCCCGAGGAAAAGAAAUCAACCGAGAUUCCCCCAGUAGCGGCGAGCGAACGGGGAGGAGCCCAGAGCCUGAAUCAGCAUGUGUGUUAGUGGAAGCGUCUGGAAAGGCGCGCGAUACAGGGUGACAGCCCCGUACACAAAAGCGCAUGUGCUGUGAGCUCGAUGAGUAGGGCGGGACACGUGGUAUCCUGUCUGAAUAUGGGGGGACCAUCCUCCAAGGCUAAAUACUCCUGACUGACCGAUAGUGAACCAGUACCGUGAGGGAAAGGCGAAAAGAACCCCGGCGAGGGGAGUGAAAAAGAACCUGAAACCGUGUACGUACAAGCAGUGGGAGCACAGGUUUACCUGUGUGACUGCGUACCUUUUGUAUAAUGGGUCAGCGACUUAUAUUCUGUAGCAAGGUUAACCGUAUAGGGGAGCCGUAGGGAAACCGAGUCUUAACCGGGCGUUAAGUUGCAGGGUAUAGACCCGAAACCCGGUGAUCUAGCCAUGGGCAGGUUGAAGGUUGGGUAACACUAACUGGAGGACCGAACCGACUAAUGUUGAAAAAUUAGCGGAUGACCUGUGGCUGGGGGUGAAAGGCCAAUCAAACCGGGAGAUAGCUGGUUCUCCCCGAAAGCUAUUUAGGUAGCGCCUCGUGAAUUCAUCUCCGGGGGUAGAGCACUGUUUCGGCUAGGGGGCCAUCCCGGCUUACCAACCCGAUGCAAACUGCGAAUACCGGAGAAUGUUAUCACGGGAGACACACGGCGGGUGCUAACGUCCGUCGUGAAGAGGGAAACAACCCAGACCGCCAGCUAAGGUCCCAAAGUCAUGGUUAAGUGGGAAACGAUGUGGGAAGGCCCAGACAGCCAGGAUGUUGGCUUAGAAGCAGCCAUCAUUUAAAGAAAGCGUAAUAGCUCACUGGUCGAGUCGGCCUGCGCGGAAGAUGUAACGGGGCUAAACCAUGCACCGAAGCUGCGGCAGCGAACGUAUCACCCAAGACAACUUUACGGAGUUGACGAUUGACGGAGCGAAGCGACGUCAAAGCGUUCAUUAAAGUCGAGUUGGCUUAGGGAUACGUUCGUUGGGUAGGGGAGCGUUCUGUAAGCCUGUGAAGGUGUGUCGUGAGGCAUGCUGGAGGUAUCAGAAGUGCGAAUGCUGACAUAAGUAACGAUAAAGCGGGUGAAAAGCCCGCUCGCCGGAAGACCAAGGGUUCCUGUCCAACGUUAAUCGGGGCAGGGUGAGUCGACCCCUAAGGCGAGGCCGAAAGGCGUAGUCGAUGGGAAACGGGUUAAUAUUCCCGUACUUGGUGUUACUGCGAAGGGGGGACGGAGAAGGCUAUGUUGGCCGGGCGACGGUUGUCCCGGUUUAAGCGUGUAGGUGUGUGUUCCAGGUAAAUCCGGUUCACUUUAACACUGAGGCGUGACGACGAGGCACUACGGUGCUGAAGCAACAAAUGCCCUGCUUCCAGGAAAAGCCUCUAAGCAUCAGGUAACACGAAAUCGUACCCCAAACCGACACAGGUGGUCAGGUAGAGAAUACCAAGGCGCUUGAGAGAACUCGGGUGAAGGAACUAGGCAAAAUGGUGCCGUAACUUCGGGAGAAGGCACGCUGACACGUAGGUGAAGUGAUUUACUCAUGGAGCUGAAGUCAGUCGAAGAUACCAGCUGGCUGCAACUGUUUAUUAAAAACACAGCACUGUGCAAACACGAAAGUGGACGUAUACGGUGUGACGCCUGCCCGGUGCCGGAAGGUUAAUUGAUGGGGUCAGCGCAAGCGAAGCUCCUGAUCGAAGCCCCGGUAAACGGCGGCCGUAACUAUAACGGUCCUAAGGUAGCGAAAUUCCUUGUCGGGUAAGUUCCGACCUGCACGAAUGGCGUAAUGAUGGCCAGGCUGUCUCCACCCGAGACUCAGUGAAAUUGAACUCGCUGUGAAGAUGCAGUGUACCCGCGGCAAGACGGAAAGACCCCGUGAACCUUUACUAUAGCUUGACACUGAACAUUGAGCCUUGAUGUGUAGGAUAGGUGGGAGGCUUUGAAGUGUGGACGCCAGUCUGCAUGGAGCCGACCUUGAAAUACCACCCUUUAAUGUUUGAUGUUCUAACGUGGACCCGUAAUCCGGGUUGCGGACAGUGUCUGGUGGGUAGUUUGACUGGGGCGGUCUCCUCCUAAAGAGUAACGGAGGAGCACGAAGGUUGGCUAAUCCUGGUCGGACAUCAGGAGGUUAGUGCAAUGGCAUAAGCCAGCUUGACUGCGAGCGUGACGGCGCGAGCAGGUGCGAAAGCAGGUCAUAGUGAUCCGGUGGUUCUGAAUGGAAGGGCCAUCGCUCAACGGAUAAAAGGUACUCCGGGGAUAACAGGCUGAUACCGCCCAAGAGUUCAUAUCGACGGCGGUGUUUGGCACCUCGAUGUCGGCUCAUCACAUCCUGGGGCUGAAGUAGGUCCCAAGGGUAUGGCUGUUCGCCAUUUAAAGUGGUACGCGAGCUGGGUUUAGAACGUCGUGAGACAGUUCGGUCCCUAUCUGCCGUGGGCGCUGGAGAACUGAGGGGGGCUGCUCCUAGUACGAGAGGACCGGAGUGGACGCAUCACUGGUGUUCGGGUUGUCAUGCCAAUGGCACUGCCCGGUAGCUAAAUGCGGAAGAGAUAAGUGCUGAAAGCAUCUAAGCACGAAACUUGCCCCGAGAUGAGUUCUCCCUGAGACUUAGAGUCUCCUGAAGGAACGUUGAAGACGACGACGUUGAUAGGCCGGGUGUGUAAGCGCAGCGAUGCGUUGAGCUAACCGGUACUAAUGAACCGUGAGGCUUAACCUU